RNAcentral lists this long non-coding RNA (3141 nucleotides) under Coffea arabica (coffee). Its description in RNAcentral is "long non-coding RNA (CARA_LNC006648)". Lineage: Eukaryota; Viridiplantae; Streptophyta; Magnoliopsida; Gentianales; Rubiaceae. The record is from RNAcentral.
UGCUUGGACUCUCUAGCGUUCCCAGUAGAUUCGCCAAGUAGUCGCGCCCUAUUUUUCACGAUGGAAAAAAAAUAUUUUUACCAUAGAUGCGGUUUUAUUUAAAAUAAGUGAAAAGAAAAUGUGAAAAGGGAUCUAAAAUGAGACUUUAAAAAAUGCGACACUUUGGGUCCAAAAAUUUAGUCAAAAGGAUUUUAAAGAAAAUAGAAGUCGCCACUUGGUAUUGAGUUUGAGUGUACCAAGUCACCCCAAAAAAUAUUUUUUAACAAAAAUAAAAUAAAAUAAAACUCCUUUCGACAACUACAGGUCUUUGAAAAACAAAAGAAAAUAGGUUCGGAAGUCACGGUCGAAAAAAGGGAAGGCAAAGAUUUGAUUAACUCAAACUUAAGGCAUCCUUUCAACUUAGUCUAAGUUAGUUGCGAGAUUUAGUCAAAAUUUUCCUAAUCUAGCUCUUAAUUCUAUCACAUUUGGAUGUUUUCUACAUGAAUGCAAAUCUAAAUUUAUAAAAUAUCGAAAGGGACAAAAUAUCCAUUUAAGGGUUUAAUUGAUACCAAUCGCAUUGAUUGCGAAGACAAAAUAAUUUCUUGAAGGGGUCACGAGCAUGCAUAAAUUGAAUUCAAAGAAAAGAAAAGAAACUUAAAUUAUAUAUCUAGAUAUAAGUGCGCAAAGAAUAGAAAAACAACAUAAUAGAUACGGGAGACAAAAACUCGUGACCUAAUUUUCUUAUACAGGGAUUAAUGGGUAUUUAAACUAAAAAAUUAUAAUCACCCAUUUCCCAUGUUCAAAGAAUAAUUCUCCUAACAUGAGCAAGCAAAUGAAUUAGCUGAAAUGAGAUACAAUUCUAAAUUAUAUGAUUAACACAUAUAGAGGGUAGGGGAUAAUAUAAUAGGAAAUAUCAUGCAAAUGAGAAAAAUUCUAAAAAUAAAAAUAUACAUGAAAAUGUAAUGGAUAUCAUACAAAAGAUGAAUCUAAUGCAUGAACCAUAUACGGGUCUCGCGUUGGACUAGCCCAUUUCUAAAAAAAUCUUUACUAGCAUUGGACUAGCAAGUAAAUAGAGGGAGAAACCACAACUAGCAUUGGACUAGUGUGGUGACGUCAUGCAUUCUUAACACAUAAUAUGAUAAAUAAGGCAUAAAUUAAAAUAAACAAACACAUAAGAGCACGUAGCACGUAACACAUGAUAUCUAAAUGCAAAGACCCUAAGAAAACGAGUAAACACGUAAACAUACAAGUAUGCAAACACACAAAGCAAAUAAGAGCAGAUAGAGACCUAACUAUUACAAUUUGGCAUUCAAUUGCCUUUUAAAUAAUCAUCAAAAAAUAAAUUUGUAGAACUUAAAAUAUAACAAGUAAAUAAAUAAAUAAAUAAAUAAAACACUUAAGCCAUGCAAUUACAAAUAAAACAUGUAGGAUCACAGAAAAAAUUUUAAAUUAUGAAAGAAAAUACCUCCCAUUGAAGUAGUAGCUACUUGAGUUUGGAUUUGCCCUAUUUAACUCCAAAAUUAACCAAAAUCAUUAAGGCACCCAUUUAAUCAACAAAUAAAUCAUUAAAAAUGGAAAUAAACAUGAAAUCAAUCAACUGAAACAUUCAAAUGGAAUAUAAUUCAUAAUUAAAAAGGAAAAGCAACUUCUAUUUAAGUAAUCAAAUCUAUUAGGGACCUAAUUACAAAAAUUAACAAAGUUUUAGGGAUCAAAUUGAAUUAUCACAAAGACCCAAGGUCAAAAUUAAAGAAAAAUAAAGUUUAGGGACCUAUUUACAAUUAAAUUAGGGACUUAAUUGAAGAAACCUAAAGUAUUUAGGACCACAAUAAAAUUAUUCAAAAAUCAAGGGACUGAAAUAUAAUUUCGUAACCAGAUUCUUAGCCAAAUCGGCCAUUAGGCCACUCUUAUUUAUCAUUUGGGCCAAAGGCCAUAAGGUCCACACAAAAGUCUAAGGAAAAAUACACAGGCUAGCCCGUAGUUGUAUCCAAAACACCAGCCCAAUGACAAAUGCAUGGGCUCUAGCCUCCUAUCCCAAGCCGAAAAUCCCAAUAAAAUAAACUAAAACCCAUUUCUAAAACCCAAACAAAAUAGCCCAGAUUUUUAUAUAAAACCCACCUAACAAACCUCAACCAAAACCUCCAACUAUUUUACCAAACCCAAUCAAAAUAAUAAAUCUAUCAAAAUUAUUAAAUCUUAAAUUUCAUCCUAAAAUUCAUAAAUAAUUUGUAAAAAAAAUCAUAUUAAAAAAUGCCAAAGAAAAUUUAAAUUUAAAGGGGCAGAAUUGAUUAUUUGCAGAAGUUUUUGAUCCACAGUGAAAUUAGGUAAAAAUUGGGGGAUCAAAAAUGAAAUUUUCAGAAAAUUCAUGCAUCCUGCCCAAAGCUUUCUUCUGCAGUUUCUGGGUUUGCUUGUCCGGCCAACUGAAGCUCCGACAGCCACGGCGGCGCCGACGCCUGUCACCGGAAAUUUCUCUGGUUGCCAAAAAUUACCAAAAUACACAUCCCCAUUCGAUUUUUGAAGUAGAUUCUAUUUUUUAAGUUAAUUUUUACAAAAAAAUGACCCGAAAGUGGCCAAAAGAGCAAAAGCCAGUCCAGUUUUUUUUUAACAUUCAAAUCUUCAUCAAAAAUCACAAAACUUUAUACUACCACACUCCUUGCAACUUCUACAAUACCACUAUAUUUUUAAAAUAAAGCAAAACAGCCCCUAAAAUUUAUUUUUUUUUCAUUUUGGCAUUUUUUCAAACAGUUAGCAUACAUAUAUAAAAAUUAUUUCCUUUUCCCUAAUCUAAUUCAAAUCAUUUUCCAAAUUUUUAACAAUACAACAAUAACAAUAAAAGACCACAAAAGCCAGAAAAUUAAACGAUAAAAUAUGGCUUUAACAUGGUUAACAAAAAAAUGAAAAAAAUACCUCAAUCUAAGCAAGAGUUUCACGGUCAAAAUUUUGAAGGGACUCCCAGGCUUCAUUCCUUCGUUGCUUGCUUUGUUGUAUUUAAAUUGUGUGUAGAUGUGUUGUGUGAAUUGAGAAAAUGGAGGGAUAGAGCCGAAAGGAUCAGAGAAAUUUUUUUCUCCUUCUUCCUCUCUGUUUUUUUAUUUCGGCAGCCUAAGCUGAGAGAAGAAGAGAGUGAGGGUCUCUCUGCAAAAUUUUCUUCUACUCCAUUGAGCCAGC